This 306-nucleotide long non-coding RNA is filed under the name Nicotiana benthamiana. RNAcentral describes it as "long non-coding RNA (NBEN_LNC029614)". The record is from RNAcentral. Lineage: Eukaryota; Viridiplantae; Streptophyta; Magnoliopsida; Solanales; Solanaceae.
AAAAACGUAUACCUCAUCCUACACUAAAAAGGACAAGUUUUAGGUCUGGAUGGUCGCGGUUCUACCGCGGUCGUGCUCGGACCGCGGCCAGAAUGGCCUACAGAAUCUGCAACAGUCUUGUGCACUGUCCGACUGUGGUUACAAUUUUGACUGCAUUUUUCAUCCUGUUCCGCUUGGAAUUUGGACAAAUGUAAAACAUGCAAGUUGUAGUCCUUUGAGUUAUCUUUCCAACCAUAUAUUGUAAAACACAAAUGGAUUUCAGCGGAAAAGGUUAUGUCCAAUUUACUAGACAGUACGUAAUAUGGC